RNAcentral lists this ribosomal RNA (277 nucleotides) under uncultured bacterium. Its description in RNAcentral is "partial 16S ribosomal RNA". It matches the Rfam family "Bacterial small subunit ribosomal RNA", at positions 28 to 311 of the family's 1533-position model. The record is from RNAcentral.
GAUAAACGCUGGCGGCGUGCCUAACACAUGCAAGUCGCACGUCCUGUCUUUUUUCGGAAAGAGAGGGAGUGGCGGACGGGUGAGUAACACAUGGGUACCUGCCUCAAAGUGAGGAAUACCCUCGGGAAACCGGGGACAAGACCGCAUAGCCUCAGCGAUGAGGAAAGCUCUUUUCGGAGGGCGCUUUGAGAGGGGCCUGUGGCCGAUUAGCUGGCUGGUGGGGUAAGGGCCUACCAGGGCGACGAUCGGUAGCUGGUCUGAGAGGACGAGCAGCCAC